This is a long non-coding RNA of Chlorocebus sabaeus (green monkey), 8594 nucleotides long. RefSeq lists it as uncharacterized. Lineage: Eukaryota; Metazoa; Chordata; Mammalia; Primates; Cercopithecidae. The record is from RefSeq and is a predicted model, not a curated record.
GGAACUUGCAGUGAGCUGAAUUGGGGCCACUGCACUCCAGCCUGGGUGACACAGUGAGACUGCAUCUCAAAAAAAAAAAAAGGUCUUCUAGGCUCCUAGCUCAGUUUUUACCACCCUGGGGGCACAAGUUCUGUCUUUGAAUUAUUUUCUUUCCCAGGCUUAAAGCCCUGUCUCCCAGCCUGUAAUACUAAUCACUUUCCUGAUUAUCCAGUGAGCCCAAUGGCUUCGGCCUCUCAGUUUACCAUUUGUAUUAGUUUGCUAGUGUUGCCAUAACAAAGUGCCACAGACUAAGUGGCUUAAAAAGCAAAAAAAAUUAUUGUCUCACAGUUCUAGAGGUUAGAAGCCUGAGAUCAAGCUAAUUGGUAAAGUUGGUUUCUUAUGUGGGCUAUGAGGAAGAAUCUUUUCAAUGCCUCCCCUCUAGCUUCUGGUCCCUCGUUAGCAAUCUCUGGUGUUCCAUGGUGUGUAGAAGCAUAAUCCCUGCCUUCAUCUUCACAUGGUAUUCUCCUGCACGUGUGUGCCUUUGUCCAAAUUUCCCCCUCUUAAAAAAUACCAGUCCUAUUGAAGUAGGGUCUCACCUUGCUCCAUGAUGACCUUAUCCUAACUACUAAUUACAUUACAAUAGACCUAUUUCCAAAUCAGGCCACAUUCUGAGGCACUGAGAGUUAAGACUUCAAUGUGUGAGUUUCGUAGGGACACAAUUUGACUCCUAACCCCACUCGUCAUGUUUCCUCUUUAUUUGUAGCACCUGCAAAUUUCUCUUAAUUUAUAACUCAGCAAUUUAAUUUUCUUUAUACUAUUUUAUUCUGCAUAGGUAUCUGUUUGAAGUGAGGAGGCAAUGUCCCAUAUCAGCAUGAUCCACUUAAUUAGCUGGAAUUUUGUUCUUUCAUGAUUUAAAUGGUAAACAAAAAUCAUCAACUAAUAUUUUAAAAUAAAUAAGGACAUGAAAGAAGGAAUAAAAAAACAAAGCCAACUUUUCUAUCAAUAAAGAAAAGUUAGAUUUGGGAAAUAACUAGAGAACUUCUAGAAAUGCAGUAUACAAUCACUGGAGAUACAGAGCUCAGUGGAUAGGUGUGAUGUUUAAUUUUAUGUGUCAUGUUGACUGGGCUAAGGGCUACUCAGAUAGCUAGUAAAACAUUAUUUCUGGGUGUGCUGUGAAGCUGUUCCCAGAAGAGAUUAGCAUUUGAAUCAGUAGACUGAGUAAAGAUAAACUUUAUCAAUUUGGGUGAGCAUCAUCCAAUCCAUUGAGCCUCCAAAUAGAACAAAAAAGUGGAGGUAGGAAAAAUUUAAUCUUUGUUUGAGUGGGGACAUCCAUCUUCUCCUGCUGUAGGACAUUGGUACUCUUGGUUUUUGAGCCUUUGGAUUUAGAAUGUUACUUACACCAUUGGCUCCUAUACCAUUUCUCAGGCUAGUAAACCUCAACUGACUUACACUGCUGGCUUUUCUGAUUUCCCAGCUUGAAGAUGUCAGAUCAUGAGACUUCUCAGCCUCCAUCAUUACGUGAGCAAUUUCUAGAAUAAGUAUCUAUAUUGUUAUCAAUCUAUCUCCUGUUGGUUCUGUUUCUCUGUUUCUCUGUUAUGAGCUCUGACUAAUACAAUAAGUUAUGCUGUGUGUUAGACACAGUUCAAGAAAGAAUUAGUGAGAUGGAAGGUCUGAGGAGAUAAAAUGAAUGCAGCACAGAGGAAAAAAAAUAAAAGUAGAAAGGAGGGGUUAAAAAACAUGGAAAGUAAAUUGAAGAGGUCUAACGUUUGUUUCAUGAGGAGUUCCAGGAUAGGAUAGGGAGGACUAGGGAGGAAUGACAGUUGCCAUAUUUAAAGAAACAAUGGCAGAGAAUUUUCUAGAUUUGAGAAAGGCAUUGAUUUGGAAACAUGGUUAAUCCCUAAUUAUUAAAGAGUUGAUGCAGUUGGGUUUUGCUUCUCCUUACAUUCUGGGGAGAGAAAUUCUAAGAAGAUCCUUAAUUUUGUAUUGGUAUUUUAUUGGGAAGAUAUUUUGUUGGUAAAGAGGUUGAAACUACUAGCUAUUAGAUAAAAAGACUUUUCUGAGGAUUUCCCACAUUUUCCCCAUUUCCAGGUCACAUUACUUUAAAAUAAUACAAAUUAUGUACUUUUAGUUAUCAGAUAAUACAUUAUCAAAGUAGCAUUUAUUUCAUUUGUGAAAUAGAACAUGUUAAUAAAUUAAAAGAUAUUUUAAAUUAAAUCUUCUCAUCAAAGAACAUUUAGAAAAUGGGCUGAAGUUAUGCUCAUACAUAGAGUAUGUUUCAUAAUACUUAACUGCUGUGUGGUUCUUGUUCUGAAAAUAAUACUUGUUUUGAAAUUUAAAUAACAAACAAUAUUAUAUAUAUAUUUUUGCUUAAGGUUACAUUUUGUCAUAUUUGGCUGCAAAGCAUAUGGUAGAAUCAGUACAGUGUCUAUCCAAUGGAAAUAUGAACAGGACCACACAAAAUGGUUCCACUGUGUCAUUUUGUUCAAUGUGGCCUCAUGAAAGCAAAAUCUUCUCACCACAAAAACUUUCUUGUCGUUCCCGCUCUUUAAAAUAAUCACUUCUAACUUCAUUUCCAGCACCUUUUCUCCUUUCUAACUGCUGUCUACUUUAAGUGAGUUGAAGAUUCGUUUAUUUUGCUUUGAAAUUCUUCAUUCUUUAUUUUUUACCACAUUUCUAACUAUAAAAUGCAUAUUAUUAAAACAUUUUCAGCCUUUGGGAUAGUUUGAUGUUGGUAAUGUAAGAGUUUUGGCUCGUUCAUUUAGAGUUUUGUGGUAUUUGUAUUUUUGGUACAUUGGAUAUUUUUCUAUGUGUUUUAACUUUUAGAGAUUUUCUUUUAACACGUAAUUGAGAACUGACUUAAUUCUCUAAAACAUUCAAUGUAAUCUUUAUUUAGCUUUCUUUUUUAACCUGUUUAUCAGACAGUGUAUUUGUAAGGCAUUAAAAAAAAUCCAGGUAUCUUAGAUACCCACGACACAGAACCUACCUUCAAAAAAGGCAUGAAUUAUUUUCAGGUCUUCUAAAUAAGUGAGAGACAGAGCAAUAACUAAAUGUUACUGUAUAAGCAGAAGACAAAGACAUGGACAAUCAUAAUAGUCUAUUUACAAUCAUUUAAAUCUAUACAUUCUGAAGGGUAAUACCCUAAAAUGGAAUAUAAUAUUCUAAUAAAGAUUUAGGACAGAAUGUGGUUGAAGGGAAACUUUAAAUGCUAAUAGUAUUUAUUUUAAUAAAUUCCUGUAUCACAUAAUUUGUUAUUUUUUUCCUCAAUCUCAGCACAGUUGAAACUUUGAACAAGGUAAUUCUUUUUUGUGAGUAGCCUUUGCUGUGUGUGGGAUGUUCAGCAAUAUCUCUGUCUUCUAACCAGUAGAUGCUGAUAGCAUCCUCCCAAUUGUGACUAUCAAAAAUGGCUCCAGACACUGCCAAAUAUGCCCUGUGGGCCAAAGUACCCUUGACUGAAAACCACCAGGUUAGGGUAUUAUGUUGCUAAAUCAUUCAGCUUCUGGUCAAACGUAGUCUUGCCACUUAGUUCCCAGUUGUUUCACAAGAGAUACAUUUGAAUGAUUUAUUUUGGUUUCUAAAUGUACAUAUUUUUGAUCUCUGUUUUAAUCUCAUUUUAUAGAAAAUGUAGCUAUUUUAUCAAAGUCAUUUGGAAUUCAUUAUGUCUUACAGAACACAAGCAGAUACUUAACAUACAUACAUAGUAAACUUCAUAUUUUAAUUACUUUAUUCUGAAUACUAGUAAAGAUUUAAAAUGUGAUGUGAUCGAGGGUUAAUCCUUGUGAAUCAGCUUGUCCCAAAACUUGCUUUUCUAAAUGUCUUUGACAUUGUUUUGUGAGAUACUGAAAAAACCUUAUUGAAAUUAAGAGAGAUUACUUUUCUACUUACCCCUGUCUCUUUUGUAGAAGCAAAUUAAUUCUGUCUCUCAAAAUGUCUUCUUCUCACAGUCACAUUGGUUGCUUGUUAGUGAUUAAGUAGAACCAUUCUUGAAUUACACAGGACAGCAGUGUGUAGUCUCUGCUGUUCCGUGAAAAUGGAGUAUGCUGAGUGAUCCAGAAAUCAGUCUACUACUCCAUAACUCAGGUAAGGAAGAGUACGCAUGGAACACAGGAGAUCCAUUAGCGCAUCUCUUAGUGUUACCAUGCCCUGUGAUUAAGGUCAAUGGGAAACUACAAUAGCCUAAUUCAGGCAGGUCUACAAAUGGUCAAGACCCUUCAGGAAUGAAGGUUUGGGUCACUCUACCAGGAAAAAAACCCAUGACCUGCUGAGGUGCUUGCUGAAGGCAAAGGGAAUACAGAAUGGGUAGUAGAAGAAGGUAGUGAUCAAUACCAGCUAUGAUCACGUGACCAGCUGCAGAAACGAGGACUGUAACUGUCAUAAGUAUUUCCCCCUUCUUUUGUUAAAAACUUGUUUGUGCAUGUAUACAAUUGUACUAAGAAAAUAUCUUCAUUUUAUUUCCUUUUCCUUUAUCAUGUAACAUAAGAUUUAUUGACUUCAUGUCAGCAUUUAAGUAUAGUUGACUUUAUGUAAUAGUAUUUGGGUUGGGGAUUAGUGCGUUUCUGGUUGUAUGAAGGAUACUUGUAUUAUGUAAGGUAUAAUUAUGUAGUGCGUUUCUGGUUGUAUGAAGGAUACUUGUAUUAUGUAAGGUAUAAUUAUGACCUCAUUAUUGUCUUUAUUUGAAAAUUAUAAUCUCAGGAGAUGUGUAUGGGUUCACAUUGACUAGGAGUGGACUUGUGAUGGUUAAUACUGAGUUUCAACUUGAUUAGAUCGAAGGAUGCAAAGUCUUGAUCCUGGGUGUGUCUGUGAGGGUGUUGUCAAAGGAGAUUAACGUUUGAGUCAGUGGGCUGGUGAAGGCAGACCUACACUUAAUCUGGUAAGCACAAUCUAAUCAGCUUCCAGCAAAUAUAAAGUGGGCAGAAAAACAUGGAAAGAGAAGACUGGCCUAGCCUCCCAGCUUACAUCUUUCUCCCAUGUUGGAUGCUUCUUGCCCUCAAACAUCAGACUCCAAUUUCUUCAGUUUUGGGGAUUGGACUGGCUCUCUUUGCUUCUCAAACUUGCAGCCAGCCUAUUGUGGGACCUUGUGAUCAUGUAAGUUAAUACUUAGUAAACUCCCAUUUGCAUAUCUAUCUAUCUAUCUAUCUAUCUAUCUAUCUAUCUAUCUAUCUCUAUCCUAUUAGUUCUGUCCCUCUAGGGAACCCUGACUAGUACACCAAGAUUUAUCUGAAUAUAGUUAGUGUUCAUUAACUAUAUAAACAGUGAGCUAAUAAGUAGCCCAUGACUAUUUAUUUUUUUCCCCCCAAAUUUCUACUGGUAAUGGGAAUAUCUACACAUCCCACAUCAUUUCUUGAGUGAACAUUUCUUAAUGGAGACAAAGGUAGUUUUUAUAAAUGGAAUACAUAGCAAAAGAGCUGCUGCCUCAUAUAAUCAACUUCCAAGUCAGCAUUUAUUUAUUCUCAUAUUUCCUUAUGCUUUCAAAUAUAACAUUGUACAUUUUGUAUCAACAUUUUAAAUUAAGUCAUAUCAAGUAAAAACAAGGCAACUACUAUUUAACCACUGUUUAAUCCCCAAGGAAAUUCAUGCCCUCUCCCUUCUUAUUGCAAUAGCUGCUCUCUCCUUUCUUCCCAGGUCUUUUUUCUUUCCUCAUUUAGUAUUUUCUAGUUGGUUAUUCUUUUUCUCUGGCUUUAGAACUCCUGUCUUCAGCCUGUCAUAUUUCAUUAUACACUGAAUUAGACCAUGCUUGUUCUCUGGGAGUAUAAAGAAUUAAAUAACAGGAUUUAAUUAAGUCUGAUGUCUGUUUGUAGAUGGGCAGAAUCUUUUUUUUUUACUAGUUUAUUUGAAGUUGAGAACAAAGACUCAUCUUGCUUACCUUUAUUUAGUAGUUUAAAAAAAUUAAAUCAUGAUAUUGAUCCCUACCUCAAAGUAAGAAGCAAUUAUUAUCAAACAUUUUGCAAAAGAAGUGGUAAAAAUAAGCAGUAGACUUGCAGAAGGUCUGUAAUAAAUCAAGGAACCUAUCAAUAAUUAAGCAUGAUGCAUUUAAUUGUUUCUGAGUAUAGUUCAUCCAUAGUAUAUAAAAAUAUCUGAAAUCUACUCUUUCAAGUGACCCUUCUUAUGACUGAUAAAACCAUGAUACAUUCUUUUACAUUUCAAUGGUAAUAUAGUUAACAUUUCUAGAGUUUGCAUUGGGAAAAUGCCAUUUGCCUUCAUAAAGAACCUCUGCUUAAUAUGAACAUGUACUAUAGAGCCUCUCUUGGGAAGAAUUGGUUCAUACCACUAGUCAUCAAUAUUUAGGGGAAGCUGAGAAAAGAAGGUAUGGGCUUGGGUUUGUGGCAGGCACAAUUAUGGCUCCCAAAUAUGUCCAUGUCCUAAUCCCUGGAACCUGUGAAUAUGUUGUUGCAUGACAAAGGGAAAUUAAGGUAGAAGAUAGACUUAAGAUUUGCAGUCAUCUGACUUUAAAAUGGGGAAAUUAUUCCAGGUUAUCUGGGUGGAUCCAAUGUAAUCACAAGAGUCCUUAAAAGUGGAAGUGGGAGGACAUGAGCUAAGAAAUUCUGGCAGCCUGCAGGAGCUGAAAAAGGCAAGAAAAUGGAGGCUCCUUAGAGCCUCCACAAAGGAAUGCAGCCUGUUGACACACUGACUUUAACUUAGUGAGAUUCAUUUCAGAUGUCUGGCCUCCAGAACUAUAAGAUAAUAAAUCAGUGUUGUUUUAAGCUACCUAAUUUGUGGCAAUUUUUUAUAGCAGCAGUAGGAAACUAAUAGAAGGUUAUAGAGAGGGAGUUGGGAUGAGAUGGAUGAUUCAUUCCUGUGGGAUUCAGUCAUUGCAUCCAUUCUAUUGUAAUUAAAAAUAAAAAGCAUGUAAGAAGAAUUACCGCAUUAGGAUAUCAAAGAAAAUCUAACUAGACAUGUAUACUCUUUGGUAAUGGCAAAGUCAGAAAUGAUGUGAACUAAAUGUACCCAAAUUAAGGACAUACAUUUUGCCUAAAUUCAGUCACUGAUUGCCAAUUAUUUACCGAGAUUUCUACAGUCAGUUUUUACUUUUCUGUUCUUUCCACAAAAAGGAAAACAUGAUGGUACUCAAAUCUAUUGACAGCUGACUUUUGAUAAUGCUAUUGCAAUCACUGGGUAAAUCAUUACACACCAGGAUACCCUAUACAUUCAAUAUUUCCUGUUUAGACUUUUGUUGUCCUGAAGUUUUCUUAUUUUUUGUAAAAAUGCUGCCUUCUAGGAUUCUGGUUUAGUAGGAAAUGUUAGUAUUAUUUACUAUAGGAUCACAAAGGAAUGAGACACAUGGAAAGUCUUGAAGUCCUGUAUCACUUCAAUGGAGUUGGGUAUAGAAACUGACAUAGACAUUUAUAAUAUCCUGUGUCACUUUCUUCAGCUGACCCAUCAAUAUCGCUAACAUUCAUUCCACCAAAAAUAUGUGCAAUCCAUGAGGUUCUAACAAAAUGGGAACUGUAAGUUAUGUGGGGCAUAUUUAUUUCCCCACGGUGUUCUGUUGGGUCUGGACUUUACAGUACAAGGACAUGUUCUGAAAUGCAAACAAUGAUUAAUUUUUGUACUUGCAUGUUUAUAAAAAUAAACUUUAUUUUUUAAACCAUAUGACUUCAUUUUCAUUGUAGAAAAUUAACCUGGGUUCAUGGUGGGUAUGGUAAAUCAGUUGAAAAAUUGGUCUUAAUUUUUAUUCCUCCCUGUAAUAAUGUCCCUUAUAUGUAAUUUUAUAACACCUUACAUAAGAGGUGGAGACUAUUUUCCAGCCCCCUGAAUGUGGGAAGGCCUUGUGAUUUGCUUUGGUCAAAAGAACUAGGCAGUAGCACCAAUUCUCUUAUUAGUCCUCAAGAGGCUUUGUGUAUUUCCAUUCUCCUUCAGGCACCUACUUCCACCAUGAUAAUAAAUCUGGGCAACUUGCUAGAAGAUCACAGAUCACAUGGAACUGAGCCAAAAUGUUCUAGCCUCUGAGAGCCAACACCCAGAAGCAGAUCUAACUACUUGACCUAUGUCUCACCACAGAUGUAUGAGGGAACACAGACAUGACCUGAAGAACUGCCCAGCUGGGUUCAGCCUAAAUUAUUGACCCCUAAAGUUUUGAGGAUGACCUCUUUCAACUCUGCCACUUCCAUCCUCACUCUGAGCUGACAGCCUCCCUUUCUCCUUCACAGGGAAAAGGUAAGCCACGAGAGGGGGUCUUUCUCAAGUUCUAGAUAGGGCAGCAAUGAACCAAAGCCUGUAACAUAUGACCCACCGUUUAGCUUACUAAGCUAACUGAGGUUUUGGCAAUUGUUUAAUUAACAUUGAAAAACCAAUUUUUAAAAAUUGACUUUCUAUUUCUGAGGUUGUAGGGUAUAUCAUCUUCAUCUGCUCUCCGUGGUGUCCUUUGGUGAGCUGAUGAGCCAACACACAGGGCCCUGCUUGAAUGCGUGGCAUUUGCUCUGCUCUUAUCCACCACUGUGCCAAGACUUGAGAGCCAUGCAUUUUCCCCCGGCUCAGAUCUUCUGGCUCAUUGUCAGUCAGGUCAUGCCAAAGCUGCUAGCCAACAAAAGCAUAUAGGGAAAAUAAAUUUGUCAUAGGAAAAGUACAGAAAAGUGAUCACUUUUGGGCAGGACUACAGUAAGAACACUGUUAGGCUGCAU